RNAcentral lists this unclassified non-coding RNA (438 nucleotides) under Zea mays. RNAcentral's name for it is "misc RNA Zm00001eb346700". The record is from RNAcentral. Lineage: Eukaryota; Viridiplantae; Streptophyta; Magnoliopsida; Poales; Poaceae.
AUCGAUCCUCUCCGGUACUGGUGACGGUGGAUUCAGCGUCCGAUAUAUCUCCGCGUUCGGGCCUCGCGCCGAUGUCACGAGCCGCCGCGCCGUCACGAGCCCUCCUCUGACGUCGCCGCAGCUGCCGUGGUGGUGGAGCCGCCACCGCGUCGUCCUGCAGGUCCAGGAGCACCCUGCCGCACACCGCGCAGGACGCGAACUCGCCCUCCGCCCGGAGGCGGCGGACAGCGCCGCAGUGGCCGCACCAGCACGUCGCCGACGGUGCCAUCGACACAACGCCGGAGGAACGCGUCUGGCCAACUCAAGAUGGAUUUAUGUGCCGGCGGCUGAGUUUUGCCUCGGGUUCAGAUGUGCCAGGACUACAUUAUAUUUGGAUGGAAAGGUUGUUGGGCGCUUGGCUCGGUUUCAGUUGGGCUAUUGCAUCGCGUUGGUUUCCCG